AUAAACAAAUGGUGAACUUCAGUGUCACUUGUUGCUUAAGGAGUGAAAUAUGACUGCAGGUUAACUUUCUGGUAAACCAUUCAUUCACUUUUAAGUCUUCAUGUUUGUACUCAUGUGCUUACUGUAGGCUGGUAAUAGCAGGAGUCUCUCUGGGGGAGGAGAGGAGAGAAACCCUGCCUCCAAAAUGAGUAUUUCUGAGGAGAACAACUCUGAUGAACCCAUGGGCAAAAUCCAACUAGAGAGACCAGACUCACCUGUACCCAGAUGUGUGUCCAUGAAGAGUGAACCUAUAGAGAGAACCUAUAGAAUUUAGACAGGGACCAUUCUCUCCUAAAAAUGGGGAUCGAUCCAACUCCCCUGUACCUAGCUGUGUGUCCAUGAAGAGUAACCAGUCCAUUAGAGAACCUAUAGCUUUCAGAGAAGGACCUUUUCUAACUGACCAAAGGGUCCAGCAGGAGAGACCAGACUCCCCUGUACACAGUGGUAUAUCCAUGAAGAGUGAACAGUCAAAGAGAGAGCCUGUAGAAUUCCGGAGUGGAGACUUUCCUCCAAAACAAGAGUAA
Long non-coding RNA from Salvelinus sp. IW2-2015, 563 nucleotides. RefSeq lists it as uncharacterized. The record is from RefSeq and is a predicted model, not a curated record. Lineage: Eukaryota; Metazoa; Chordata; Actinopteri; Salmoniformes; Salmonidae.